Molecule: small RNA, 314 nt
Filed under: Mus musculus (house mouse)
Lineage: Eukaryota; Metazoa; Chordata; Mammalia; Rodentia; Muridae
Source: RNAcentral
CCGUUCCCUUCAGGACCACCAAUAAUCCCGCCACCCCCUCCCAUCUCUCCCGACUGUCUGGAUGACACUGAUGCCCUGGGCAGUAUGCUAAUCUCUUGGUACAUGAGUGGCUACCACACUGGCUACUAUAUGGUUUCCCAGGUGUUGGAGAUCGCACCCUGGGGCUUGGGCAUCCUGGGCAAGCCCCACCACUGAGCUGUAUCUCAGCCUGCCAGUUUUUGAAGUUUAAUGUUUCGUUGGGUUUCAGACAAAAUAAAAAAGAAGGAAAGUGCUCACAUACAAAUUAAGAACCAGGUCUAAAAUUCAACGGCCCG